RNAcentral lists this ribosomal RNA (507 nucleotides) under uncultured bacterium. RNAcentral describes it as "bacterial SSU rRNA". It matches the Rfam family "Bacterial small subunit ribosomal RNA", at positions 501 to 1010 of the family's 1533-position model. The record is from RNAcentral.
CUACGUGCCAGCAGCCGCGGUAAUACGGAAGGUCCAGGCGUUAUCCGGAUUUAUUGGGUUUAAAGGGAGUGUAGGCGGUCUGUUAAGCGUGUUGUGAAAUUUAGGUGCUCAACAUCUACCUUGCAGCGCGAACUGGCGGACUUGAGUGCACGCAACGUAUGCGGAAUUCAUGGUGUAGCGGUGAAAUGCUUAGAUAUCAUGACGAACUCCGAUUGCGAAGGCAGCGUACGGGAGUGUUACUGACGCUUAAGCUCGAAGGUGCGGGUAUCGAACAGGAUUAGAUACCCUGGUAGUCCGCACGGUAAACGAUGGAUGCCCGCUGUUAGCGCCUGGCGUUAGCGGCUAAGCGAAAGCAUUAAGCAUCCCACCUGGGGAGUACGCCGGCAACGGUGAAACUCAAAGGAAUUGACGGGGGCCCGCACAAGCGGAGGAACAUGUGGUUUAAUUCGAUGGUACGCGAGGAACCUUACCUGGGUUUGACAUCUAGAGGAAUGUCUUAGAGAUAAG